RNAcentral lists this ribosomal RNA (383 nucleotides) under uncultured bacterium. Its description in RNAcentral is "bacterial SSU rRNA". It matches the Rfam family "Bacterial small subunit ribosomal RNA", at positions 30 to 412 of the family's 1533-position model. The record is from RNAcentral.
AUUGAACGCUGGCGGCAGGCCUAACACAUGCAAGUCGAGCGGUAGAGAGGUGCUUGCAUCUCUUGAGAGCGGCGGACGGGUGAGUAAUGCCUAGGAAUCUGCCUAGUGGUGGGGGAUAACGUUCGGAAACGGACGCUAAUACCGCAUACGUCCUACGGGAGAAAGCGGGGGAUCUUCGGACCUCGCGCCAUUAGAUGAGCCUAGGUCGGAUUAGCUAGUUGGUGAGGUAAUGGCUCACCAAGGCGACGAUCCGUAACUGGUCUGAGAGGAUGAUCAGUCACACUGGAACUGAGACACGGUCCAGACUCCUACGGGAGGCAGCAGUGGGGAAUAUUGGACAAUGGGCGAAAGACCUGAUCCAGCAAUGCCGCGUGAGUGAUGAA